This 14969-nucleotide long non-coding RNA is filed under the name Homo sapiens (human). RNAcentral's name for it is "non-protein coding lnc-TSHZ2-11:5". The record is from RNAcentral. Lineage: Eukaryota; Metazoa; Chordata; Mammalia; Primates; Hominidae.
GGAGAAAGCCCCUGCUCUCCUGAGAGCUGUUCUCUAAUUUUGCUGGCAGAGAGCAUUGGAUCAGUGAUCAGAAAGUUAAAAUGGCAGAUGUUGGGGCUUCUAGGGGGAGGGGAGGCAGAUACCUGAUACUCUCCGGCAUUUGUUUUUUUAUCCUUCCCCUUACCUUCCUUUCUCGGAUCACAAUAUCCUUCCCCUUACCUUCCUUUCUCAGAUCACAAAACAGAGCUGGCGUCCACUUUUCUAAGGUCACACAGCCAAAUGCUGGCACAACAGUAAACAAACAAACAAACAAAAAACAACCAUCCCCAGGACCUGCCUCUCAGGCUGCAUCCUGACCCUCCUGACAUUUCUCAAAUACAGCAGCAGACCUCAAUACUUUUUACAAAAAUCACCAAAAGCUAAUCAACAACAGGCAGAUAGCCCAUGUCAGCCGUUGUUUCAUGUGCUAUUUCAGCUCCGUGUGUAUUUUUUCACCCUCCCAGAUGAAAAUACAGUAAUUAACUCCAUACAGAGGGGGGAUGGAGGGAGGAAACUCCCUUUUUUUUUUCCCUUCCCCUAGACUUGAAAAGAAAUUCUGGCAGAUAAUUUGGCUGAACAUGAAAAGGGAGAGGCUGCUUACAGCCGCCCAGAUAAAGUGCUAGGUUGGUGAGGCUUUGCGGGCUAAGUUGGUUAUUUCACGCCAUGAAAAGCAGACAUUUAUCUGUUCCCAUGGAGAUGUGAUUUCUACUAGUCAAUCAGGCACUGGGGAGGUCAGACAAUAGCCAGUGGUUCCCUUUUUCAUCUCAAGAGACAGUCCAUUCCUGUUCUAUUGUAACAUUUCACCUACAUUUAAAGGAAUCUAAAUGAUCUCUCCGAAAUACCUGCAGACGCAGCCAUUAUAUUUUCAAGUGAUCAAAAUUAGCAGACAUUCCAGCUGCCUCAGAGGUAGACGGGGCGUGCCCCCCACCCCCCAGUUUCAGAUCAUAGGUUGUUCCAGCACCAUCCUUAUUUGGAUAAUUUUGGCUUCCACACUUGAUCCUUCCCUCCUGAAUAAAAUAAUAAGGUCAUAAAUUACAUGUUAAAAUUUGGGGAGUGGGCAGAGGACUUCAAACAGAACAUCGCGGGAGCAAGAGAACGCUGCCCAGAAGAGAGCAAAGCCCAGAACUACUGCAAGUUUGAUAAACUGUAAACUUUGUUCCCGGUCACAGGACUGGGAACCGCCUGAAAACUGCACAUGCAGAAAUGAUUAGGGCUGUUAUUUGAUCUUCAGUGUUUGCUAUCAAUCCCAGAAAGCAGAUCAUGUCUAUUUGCCAAAUAUGUUUAUUUCAGUAGGUGAAUUGCAGUGUAAGCACCUAGAAACUAGGAUUCACAUAAGGACUUUGAAAAUGAUCUCCGAAGUGUCUCUUUUUCCCGCAUCAUUUUCACACAUGCCUAAGGCAGAAGAAAACGUAACGGGGGUGGGGGGCCUUCUUCGAGCUAAUUGAGAAGCAAGAGGCUAUUUCCAUGGGAUCCCAUUUGAAAACGCUGUCUGAGAGGCUUUUCCAACUCUCAGAGCAUAUUUGAGACGCAGACUGUCAAAUGUGACUUACACAGAAGGCCGUUCACAGGAUGGCAGCGUAACAGAAAACAGCAGACAGGCAAGGCCAUUAAGUAACUUCAUGCUUGUUAAUGGGAGUCACUCAAGUGCAGCUCAACUGCGCAAGGCAGGAAAGUAAACACAAAUACGACUCCUGGUUUGCCACAAGCCCGGCCUCUGUAGUGAGAGAGCUGUGACUGCGUUUCCAGCUCCUUGAAGGCAGAGAGACUCCUGCCUUUCGGGGCGGGCGGGCUGGAACAAAGACACCAACGGGGCCACCUCGGAAAGUCUUUUUGAGCAGUUUCAGCAAAUAGCAUUUAAGGGAAGGGAAAAAAACUCCAAUGUACUCAAUAAGUGUGUACAGCAAAUUUCUGUUGUGCCUGGGAAGAAGGAAAUUUGAGUUAAAGAGGAGGCCCGCUCCAUAUGCCUUGUCACAAGUACACUCACUGAAACAUUAAUUCACGAAGAGAUUGCAACAAGACCAAAACGAAAGAGGAACAGGGCCUGACAAUGUUCAGAGAAGGAAAACCGAAGAAGUAACCAUCCCCAAGUUAAAAAUGACGUGGGGAUGAAAAAAUAGGUUGCCUGUUGUAUUUGUCAUUGAAAUGCACAAUCUUGUUUACUGUUUAUCUUGAGACUCUGGGAGCUCUCCUGCUGCUUAGGAAAAAAGAGGCAAAGGUUUAGGAAGAAAUGCUAGUCAUAAGAAAGAGAGGCAUUAGAAACCCUAGAGAGAAUGGGAGGUGUAAAUAGUAUGUGGGCAUUUGGCAAUCACCACAAAGAAAUGGGAGACAAAGGCAAGUGUCUGAUGCCAGAAAUCCUAAAAACUUGAGUGGAAAACCCAGACACAAUAAAAAUGUCCAAAAGAAAAAAAAGGCAAAAUCCCAUGAGAUCUUUUUUUUUCUCUGUGAUGUUACCUAAUGGAGAAAAUAAAGGUGGGUUUUGCCACAGUGAUCAUGGUGCCGUAUCCUAAAGGAAGUAGCUUCAUGAUAAGCCUUCAGAGGCUCUCUCCAGGCCAGCCCCAGCCUUAGGACAAAAUGGGACAAUCUUGGGGGACAAUUUCUUUCUCCAAAAAGGGGAUGAGAUUGGGCAGAAGAAACACUUGCAGGGCAGAGUUAUUAUCUCUCUCCCCGAAGAGUUUAAUCAAUUGUGGUCAUUUACAGAUCUCUGUCGUUGUCCUUUUCUCUCUCCCUCUUUCUUUUUCUUUCUUUCUUUCUUUCUUUCUUUCUUUCUUUCUUUCUUUCUUUCUUUUUCUUUCUUCUUUCUUUCUUUUUCUUUCUCUCUCUUUCUUUUUUUCUUUUCUUCUUUCUUUCUGAUGACUUUGCCUUGAAAGGAAUUGCUUAGGAAAGAGGGAAAAGGCAUUUUUAGUCAAAAGCUAAGCUAAGAUCAAAUUAAAUCGGGCAAUGGAAACCUCCUCUGGAGGCUGUGCAGUAGAGUGUGACACCUCCUAAUUUCAUGACUUGGGCAGAUUGCUUCAUUUUCCUACUGUAAAAAAAAGGAAAACGAUAAUAACAGGUAAUGUUUAUUGAACUCCUACAUGGAAUAAGUAUUUUAUACACAGAUCCAUUUCACCCUCUGAAUCUAAUGAGGUAGUAUAAUUAUUAUCUCCGUUUUAUAGAUGAGUGGAGGCUCAGAUCACCCAGCUAGAAAAUGGAGAUAGAAUAUAAUUCUAGAUCAGGGGUUAGCAAUGACCGCCUGAGGGCCAAAUUCUGCUCAGUAUGUGUUUUUGUAAAUAAAGUUUUAUUGGAACCUAGACUUAUUUGCUUAUAUAUGGCCUGUGGCUGUUUUUCAGCUGUAAUAGCAGACACUGUAUGACCCAUGAAACCCAAAAAUUUACUCUUUACAAAAACCUUUACAGAUUUUUGAUCUAGAUUAUCCUAGCCCGUGCUCUUAAUCUCACAUAUGUCCUGCUCCAAAAAUACCUUUUUUUUUUUUUUUUUUGAGGUGAUGUCUCCCUCUGUAGCCCAGGCCGGAGUGCAGUGGUGUGAUCUUAGCUCACUGCAUCUCCACCUCCCAGGUUCAAGCCAUUCUUGUGCCUCAGCCUCCCAAGUAGCUGGGACUACAGGCCUGUACCACCACGCCCGGCUAAUUUUUGUCUUUUUGGUAGAGAUGGGGUUUCUCCAUGUUGGCCAGGCUGGUCUCGAACUCCUGACCUCAAGUGAUCCACCAGCCGCGGCCUCCCACAGUGCUGGGAUUACAGGUGUGAGCCACCACGCCUGGCUAGAAAAAUGCCUCAUUUUAAAAAUGUGAUGCUGACCAGGAAAAACAAAACUAAAAUGUCAAAAGUAAUAAUAGUUAUUAGAUAACUGAAUCUAUUAGGGGUCCAGGAAAAUUAAAAACAAAACAAAGUUUUUAAAAUUUGUGUUCCCCCUUUCUCCUUUUUUUCCGCCAAAACUUGAAAAUGUUUAUAUCCUGAAUUUACAACAAAGGAAAAACCUUUUCUGCCUCAUCAGCUUUAUUGAAACUACAUAUAAAUGCUUAUCUAAAAACCAAAAGUAUAUGCUAGGGAAAUUUCCAAAAUAAUGAAAAAAAUGGUUUUCCAGAAGACAAACAUUAUUUUUCAUAUAUAUUAUUUUAUUUAUUUAUUUAUUCCGAUAAGCAUUUUGCACUUAUUUAUUUAUUUAUUGACACAGGGUCUCACUCUGUUGCCCAGGCUGGAGUGCAGUGGCAAAAUCAUGGCUCACUACAGCCUCGACCUCCUGGGCUUAAGUGAUCCUCCUGCCUCAGCCUCUGGAGUAGCUGGGACUACAGACAUGCACAUCACCCCACCUCACAUAUAUGUUAUUGGCAAAAUUGCAAGUAGAAUACAUUGUUAAAGUAAGAAGCUUCCAUGUUUGAAUGUGAUAUUUACAGAUAGGUAAACUGGGGAUUGGCUCUUGGAAAUUGAUUCGUGUUGCCAUGUGAGCUAAAUUGCUGUUUUCAGUGUUCUAAUAUGGCUUAAUUUUUCAUGGGUUUCCAGGAUCGAUGAAUGUAGCCACAUAACAUAUCCAGGUUUUAAAAAUGUUAGUGAACAAGAUUAAUAAUAGUAUCUUCUGUCUGGGCACACUGGCUCACGCCUGUAAUCCUAGCACUUUGGCGGCUGAGAUGGGAGGAUUUCUUGAGGCCAGGAGUUCGAGACCAGCCUGGUCAAUAGAGUGAGACUCCUUCUCUAUUUAUAAAAAGAAAAUUUAAGGCCGGGCAUGGUGGCUCACACCUAUUAUCCCAGCACUUUGGGAGGCCGGGGCAGGCAGAUCACUUGAGGUCAGGAGUUUGAGACCAGCCUGGCCAACAUGGCAAAACCUGUCUCUACUAAAAUAUAAAAAUUAGCUGGGCAUGGGGUGGCACAUGCCUGUGAUCCCAGCUACUUGGGAGGUUGAGGCGGGAGAAUCGCUUGAACCCAGGUGGUGGAGGUUGCAGUGAGCCAAGAUCGUGCCAUUGCACUCCAGCCUGGGCGACAAGAGUGAGACUCUGUCUCGAAAAUAAAAAAUAAAAUAUAAAAUAUAAAAAUAAAAAUAAAUAAUAUCUUCUGUGUUUCCAAAAUUCCAGGCCCCUUGCUCUGAGUUCUGAAUAUUCUAUGCCAAGCCUUCCUGAUAACUCUAUAAGGCAGAUGUCAUUUUCAUUUUCUAGAUAAGAACGAGGCCCAGGUACACCAGGUGCCUCAUCUAAUACAUGGCUGAAUGACCUCAAAUCCCAUACUUUUUUUUUCCUCUAAGAGGAGGCCUGUGUUCGAUUGUUCGUCUUUUCAUUCAGGCAAAUUCUUACCUACUUCAGAGCAUACCAGGUGCCAGGCACUGCCCUGUGUUCUGGGAAUCCGGGAGUGAACAAGACAGAUAGUAACUCAGUUGUAGUCAAUGAACAGGAUAUUUUCAGGUGAAGAGGAGGAAUGCUAGGAAGGAAACGACACGGGAUAGAAGAGACAGAAAGUGAUCAAAGUUGGGUGCAGCAAUAGGGGCCGCAGAGGCUAAGGAAGAGGCUUGAAUGAUGAACGCAAGCCACGAGGUGAAGAUCUAGACCCCUGAAGAGAGUUCCAGGCAGAGGAAACAGCAAAGCCUCCCUCCCUCCCUCCCUCCCUCCCUUCCCUCCCUCCCUCUCUCCCUCCCUCUCUCUCUCCCUCCCCCUUCCCGCCUGCCUGCCUGCCUUUCUUCCUUCCUUUUUUUGAGACAGGAUCUCUCUCUGUCACCCAGGUGGGAAUACAGUGGCGCGAUCAUGGCUCACUGCAUCCUCAAUCUCCCAGGCUCAGGUGAUCCUCCCACCUCAGCCUCCCAAGUAGCUGGGACUACAGGCACGUGCCACCAUUCCCCACUACUUUUUGUAUUUUUUUGUAGAGAUGAGUUUUUGCCAUGUUGCCCAUGCUGGAGCCACAUUUCUUGAAGUGGGAGACAUCGUGGUAUGUUGAGAAAAUAUGUUGAUUCUUUAUGACUUUUCCCAAUUCAGGAGUCACUUAACCCUUGUCCAAGCUUGAGGGUCUUAGGUGCUGCUUUCUUUUUUUAUUUUUAAACUUUCUAUUAUUGUUAUUUUUGAGACAGUCUUGCUCUGUCGCCCAGGCUGGAGUGCAGUGGCGCGAUCUCAGCUCACGGCAAACUCUACCUCCCGGGUUCAAGUGAUUCUCAGCUUCCCUGAGUACCUGGGACUACAGGCAUGCGUUAGGUGCUGCUUUCUAAGUGCCAAGGUUACCUGAGGGUUUGUCCUCAGGUCUAUGAAAUGUGGCUCUGAUUUCCUAACAUCUUUCUUUCUCUUUCCCUUUGUCAGACAGGGGAGCAAGGUGUUCCUCAUUCAUUUGUGAUUGGAAACAGUAAGUUACCAGUCACUGAGUACAUGCUGUGUAUUGUGCUAACUGCUUAGUUGUAUUACCUUAUUUAAUCUGCAAACAACCCAAUGGAAUAUUGUGGAAUAGUAGUCUUAAAACAGAAGCAUGCCCCCUCUAUCUUCCUUUCUCCGCCAUCGUGGUGUGCGCUUGACUCUGCUUCUUGCCAUGUCUUCUCACAAGACUUUCAGGAUUAAGCGAUUCCUGCCAAGAAACAAAAGCAGGCUGGGCGCAGUGGCUCACGCCUGUAAUCCCAACACUUUGGGAGACUGAGGUGGGUGGAUCAUGGGGUCAGGAGUUCAAGACCAGCCUGGCCAAUAUGGUGAAACCCUGUCUCUACUAAAAAUACAAAAAUUAGCUGGGCAUGGUGGUGCAUGCCUGUAAUCCCAGCUACUUGGAGGCUAAGGCAGGAUAGUUGCUUGAACCGGGACCCGGGAGGUGGAGGUUGCAGUGAGUCGAGAUUGCGCCACUGCACUCCAGCCUGGGCUACAGAGCAAGACUCCGUCUCAAAAAAAAAAAAAAGGAACAAAAGCGAAAUCGUUCCAAUCCCCAGUGGAUUCAGAUGAAAACUGGUAAUAAAAUCAGGUACAGGUCAGGCAUGGUGGCUCACGUCUGUAAUCUGAGGUCAGGAGUUCAAGACCAGCCUGGCCAACAUGGUGAACCCUCAUCUCUACUAAAAAUACAAAAAAAUGGCCAGGCAUGAUGGCUCACACCUGUAAUCCCAGCACUUUGGGAGACCAAGUCGGGUGGAUCACAAGGUCAAGAGAUUGAGACCAUCCUGGCCAACAUGGUGAAACCCCAUCUCUACUAAAAAUACAAAAAUUAGCCGGGUGUGGUGGCACGUGCCUGUAAUCUCAGCUACUCAGGAGGCUGAGGCAGGAGAAUAGCUUGAACCCGGGAGGCGGAGGUUGUGGUAAGCCGGGAUUACGCCACUGCACUCCAGCCUGGCAACAGAGUGAGACUCCAUCUCAAAAACAAACAAACAAACAAACAAACAAACAAAAAAAUUAGCCAGGUAUGGUGGCAUGCUCCUGUAAUCCCAGCUACUCGGGAGGCUGAGGCAGGAGAAUCACUUGAACCCAGAGGGUGGAUGUUGCAGUGAGCCGAGAUCGCGCCAUUGCACUCUGGCCUGGGCUACAAGAGUGAGACUCUGCUUCAAAAAAAAAAAAAUCAGGUACAACUCUGAAAGGUGACAUUGGAGAAGAACCUUAUAGACAUUGGGUCUAUAAGGAAUUGCACACGAGAUAGCAUAUAUUUAUGCUGUAUCAAGGUCAUGAUGAUCUUACCAUAUCAAGCUGAAAAUGUCACCACUAUUUGAACCAUCGGACAUGUUUUAUUGGGAAUGUAUUUUUUCUGUUUGUAUGCUCUGAGCUAGCAGGCUGGGUUCAGUAAUAAAUAUGUGAGAAAUUUUGUUUGAAAAAAACAAAAAACAGGAGCAUGCUGUACUGAUUUAAGAGGAUUAAUUUCUAGAAUCUACAUGUUCAUGCUUAUAUUUACUUAUUCCGAUUCCAUGUGGGUCUGGGUGGGACACGAGGAUCUGCAUUUUUAACUAGCUUUUGGGGGAUGCCAAUGCUUCUGUUUUAUAGAACACACUUUGAUUAGCAUCAUUCUAUACCAGAAGUUGACAAACUUUCUCUAUAAAGGGCCAAAUAGUUAAUAUUUUCAGUUUUGUAGGCCCUGAAAUCUUUGUUACAAGUACUCAAUUCUGCUAUUGCAGCAGGCAGAAACAUGUAAAUGGAUGGAUGUGGCUGUGUUCUAAUAAAACUUUAUGUAUUUUUUAUUUUUUGUUGAGACGGAGUCUCGCUCUGUGGCCCAGGCUGCAGUGCAGUGGCGCAAUCACAGCUCACUGCAAGCUCCGCCUCCCAGGUUGACUCCAUUCUCCUGCCUCAGCCUCCCGAGUAGCUGGGACUACAGGCGCCCGCCAGCAUGUCUGGCUAAUUUUUUUGUAUUUUUAGUACAGACGGGGUUUCAUCUUGUUAGCCAGGAUGGUCUCGAUCUCCUAACCUCGUGAUCCGCCCGACUUGGCCUCCCAAAGUGCUGGAAUUACAGGCGUGAGCCACCGCACCCGGCCAAAAACUUUAUUUAUAAAAACAGAUGGUGGGCCAGAUUCCUUGCAGUUGCAGUUUGCUGACUCUUGGCUUAGACCAAUCAUGGUUCAUCUCCUGGACUCAUCUCCUCUGAAUAUAUUGCUGACUAAAGGCUGAACCAGUAGGGAUUCUCCUAGUCAAGGAAGACAUAGGUGAGGAUUCCUGAGAAGCAUGUCAAUUCCUGUGAUCUAAGCCAUUGGCAUGGAGCAAUUCUUAGGUUAUUUUUGGUGGAGGUAAGUGUUAGUGAUUCCCCCACAACCUAGCUACAGUUUAUCAUAAAAUCAAAUCUUGGCUGGGCGCGGUGGCUCACGCCUGUAAUCCUAGCACUUUGGGAGGCCGAGGUGGGUGGAUCACGAGGUCAGCAUUUCGAGACCAGCCUGGCCAACAUAGUGAAACCUCUUCUCCACUAAAAUUACAAAAAUUAGCCAGGCUUGGUGGCGGGCACCUGUAAUCCCAGCUACUUGGGAGGCUGAGACAGGAGAAUGGCUUGAACCCAGGAGGCGGAGGUUGCAGUGAGCCGAGACCACACCAUUGCACUCCAGCCUGGGUGACAGAGUAAGAUUCCGUCUCAAAAACUCAAUCAAUCAUUCAAUCAAAUGUCAGUCCAAAUUCUGCUACUCUUUUUGUUUUUUUCUUUUUUUUUUUUUGAAACAAGAGUUUCGCUCUUGUUACCCAGGCUGGAGUGCAAUGGAGUGAUCUUGGCUCACUGCAAUCUCCCCCUACCAGGUUCAAGAGAUUCUCCUGCCUCAGCCUCCCAAGUAGCUGGGAUUACAGGCACCCACCACCACGCCUGGCUAAUUUUUGUACUUUUAGUAGAGAUGGGGUUUCACCAUAUUGGCCAGGCUGGUCUCGAACUCCAGACCUCAGAUGAUACACCUACCUCGGCCUCCCAAAGUGCUGGGAUUACAGGAGUGAGCCACUGCGCCCGGCCCAAAUUCUACUACUCUUAUAGCCAAAUAUUUAUUAGCAAAGCAGGCACAAAACAGUUCAUACAACCUGUUCUGAAAGGUUGUUGACAAAGUCCCAGCAUUUUGUUCUUUUUUUCCUUUAUUAUUAUCUUUAUUAUUAAAUUUAAUUUAGUUUUUGGCUGGAAUCAAAUGACUGGUAUAUUAUUAUUUUCAAUUGACACAUAAUAGUGAUACAUAUUCAUGGGGUACAGCGUGACAUUUCACUACAUGUAUACAAUGUGUAAUAAUCAAAUCGGGAUAAUCAGCAUAGCCAUCACCUCUAACAUUCAUAAUUUCCUCGUGUUGUGAACAUUCAGAAUCCACUCUUGUAGCUAUUUGAAAAUAUAAAAUAAAUUGUUGUUAAUGAUAGUCAUCCUAUGUACCCUAUACAGCCUAGCACUCCGUUCUUAUAGGUGCUCUGGUCACACCCUGCAGGAAGGGUGUAUUCAAAGCAGGCAUAACAACAUUCCAAAAGCUGGGCCCUGUGCUCUCUGGCCUGUAUGAGGCAAUCAGAAAUUCUCUUAAACCAGUGACUGGAACAGAAUCAGUUAGUGAAUGAGGCAGGGAAGGGUAUAGGUGAAGGGUAAAGGGUUGCAUCCUGUAUCACAUUCUAGUCAAUCUACUUGUCCUGAGUACCUUAAUUCCACCAAUGAAAAUCCAUUUGUAAUAUCGUCAUGCAAAUUAACUAGUCACUAGUUUCACCAAUAGAAACCCUAUUCCUGAACUGCAGGAAGCACUCGCAAUACCUGUGGCCGGAGUGUGGACCUUUCUAACAUUGUGCUUGCGAACCAUCCUGAACAACAUAUUCUUCAUUGCUGAUUAGCUGACCCCUCUUAUUAUACAGCCAAGCUUAGACUCACUGUAUGGAUAGUUUAGCUCGCUGAUUAAUUACACUGAAGUAUGUUCAAGUAAAGUACAGAUCUGGUAACCAACUAUGUCUACUACAGGGCUUGUGGCAAGGAUAGGGAUGAUGUGGUUAAAAUCCUGGCAGACAGUGGGCACUUAUUUAAAAAAAAAGAGAGGAAUAAAGAGUGCUAUGACUGCUGUUCAGAGAACUUGUCAGAAGUAAAGUAAUACCAGUCUGCGUGUGUGUGUGCGUGUGUGUGUGCAUGUGUGUCUGUGUGUGUGCGCAUCUGUGUGUGUGAGUGUGUGUGUGUGUGUGUGUGUGUGCUCUCAGCCAUAUGGCUUCCUGUGCUUUCUGUGCUUUUCUGAUUUUACAAGGUAGAGGUACAGACAAGAAAAAGGAGGCACUGAUUGGAUAAGAGCUGGGUUCAAAUCUAGUUUGUUGCUCACUAGCUGUGUAAGUUUGUCAGUUGCUAGGUAAGUUGUUAAAACUUUACAAGCAGUGGUGUAGCACAGCUCAAAGUAGAAAAUAGUGCUGUUGGUUUUCCCCUCUGCAGUUGUCAAGAAGGGGCCUCAUAUGCAACAUGGGGAUAAUGAUGGUGAUGAUUAAGUAAGAAGGCGUGUGAGACAGAGUCUACUGCCUGCACACAGCAAGCUCUUGGUAAAUGUUGUCUGCCAUUAUCCUCAUCCCGAUUUCGCAGAUCAAGGCUUACAGAGCUUAAGUGAUGCUCUCAAAGACAGAGGCAGAGCCUGGGAAAAUAACAGCUACACAACAGUGCCACCCACACCAAAAUAAUAUAUUCCAGGGGUAUGGUGAAUCUUUUACCUAAGGCUUUUCUAGAAAUUAAGGACACCUAUCAGUGAUUUGAGUCUUACAUUUAAAUGACAACGUUGAAAAAGUAUUUAAACAGGGUCUUUGGCCAGUGUAGGCUGCAUUAGAUUUAAAAAAAAAAACAGUUAUCCAAGUUCUUGCUUUUCUGUGUCCAGAAAGUUCUGAGAUUAGGGGUCUUUAUCAACUGUAGGGGGCACUUAUCCUUGGUCUCCCAUCUGAACCUGCUUGUUAAACUUGGGGAGUUUCUCCCCUGUUAUUCUUGGUAGGAAGCAGUAUUGGUUUUUCACCACAGAAACUGAAAAUGUCAAAAAUUGAUUUCCAGUCCUCCUGAGGGAUUUAGGGUCACCCAAAUCCUGUAUGAUAUCAUCUUACUCAAUUACAUCUGCAAAAAUCCUAUGUCCAAGAAGGUACCAUUCUGAGGUUCUGGGCAGACAUGAAUUUUGGGAGUAGCAGGGAGACUCUAUUCGGCUCUCUACGCCUACUAAUAAUCUUUAUUUAUUUUUAUUUUUUUGAGAUAGAGUCUUGCGCUGUCACCCAGGCUGGAGUACAGUAGUGCGAUCUCAGCUCACUAUAGCCUCCACCUCCCGGUUUCAAACAAUUCUCCUGCCUCAGCCUCUCGAGUAGCUGGGAUUAUAGGCAGCCGUCACCACACCUGGCUAAUUUUUAUAUUUUUAGUAGAGACAGGGUUUCGCCAUGUUUAAUGUGAGAAAUAUUUCAUGCCUGUAAUCCCAGCACGGCCUAUAUUUCUCACAUUUAAUGCGACCUUUGUAUGUUUCUUUCCUUUUUUUUUUCCUUUGAGAUGGAGUCUUGCUCUUGUCACCCAGGCUCGAGUGCAAUGGCACGAUCUCAGCUCACUGCAACCUCUGCCUCCCUGAUUCAAGCGAUUCUCCUGCCUCAGCCUCCCAAGUAGCUGGGAUUAUAGGCGCCCACCACCACGCCCAGCUAAUUUUUGUAUUUUUAAUAGAGAUGGGGCUUCACCAUGUUGGCCAGGCUGGUCUCGAACUCCUGAUCUUGUGAUCUGCCCGCCUUGGCCUCCCAAAGUGCUGGGAUUACAGGCGUGAGCCAGUGCGCCUGGCCAGAUCUUUGUAUGUUUCUUUGUGGAUAUAUUGAUGUAUCAGAUGGUACAGGGAGUGCUGCCCCGACCCCGCUGGAGGUGCAAUGUAAUAUCAGAUAUAGGCACCGCAUUACAUUUCUAAAAUAUAAAAAGUGUAGAAUUCCAAAGUGUAUUGGGCUAUAAGGGUUUGGAUAAUAAAUUUGGAUGUAUAUUUUACGUCAUUUUAAAGCUGAGGAAUAGAGACACUAAAUACCAGCGCCGGUGAGUGACAGUGCCUGGACUGGAAUCCAGGGAUCGGAGUUCUGAGUUGAGUCUCUAACCACUAGGCUCUCUUAAGAGAGGUAGACUGAUGCUUAUUAACUGCAUGAACGAAGGAGUAAAGGAGGCUGACUGGGCCUUGUUCCAAUUCCUGGGCUGUUUUGCCUGCUGCUAGGGAGAUUCCUAUCUUUCUCUGGCAGAACAUCUUUCUAAGCCCCGUGCUGCAGCUGUAAGUGUGCGUGCGAAACAUGCAUGGACACACACCACACACACACAGACUCACACCUUGGAGAGGAGCUGCAUGCUGUUAUAUUUCCUGGAGCUUUGUGGCUGCCUGUUGUUUCAGCGAUCUCAUCUUUAUGAAUGAGGCGACAGAACCCACUAGUAACCAGGCGAGGGAGUGAAAACAGAUGCUUUUCCAGCCAGGCAGGGCUGUGCUGAGCAGUUUGUCACUGGUUAAACCUCUGUCUCCAUCAAGACACACUCCCUGUAAAAAAUGAUUACCGUUCUCUCUCUCUGACUUUAGGAACUGCUCCGGUCCUGAAAACUCAAAGUCACAGCUAACAGGAAAAGGAUAAUUUGUCUGUUGGAUACUUAGACCAGAAUAAGGCAAUGGGGUACAGUGAUGCUAUUUCUGAAAGUGUGAAGGCCUAAUUUCCUCCAGCCAAGAGAGGAAGUGAGCCUGCUUUGCGUGCUUGAAAGCUUCCUUGAGAGGAGGUGAGGUUGCCUCUAGAAGGCAGUGGAAAAUCAACGUGGUUUUAAGUGAGCAAAAGUCUUCAAAAAAGCCUCAGGAAUAAGAUAGGCUAUAGGUUUGGCCAAGGACAGACCAUCAAGCAAUAUUGUUGAUUGAAACACAGUUGUAGAAAGGUGAAUACUGUAUGAUUUCCUCUACGUUUAAAAAAAGGACAUGUAUCUGCACGUGUGUGUGUGUGUUUAGAUGUGUAAAAAUAUUUAAAAAAGGACGAGAAGAAUACUCUCUUACCAUUAACACAGGAAGUAAAUAAAAAAUGGGGUGGGGGUGGGGAAAGCCAUGUCAGAGGGAGAGAAGGGUGAGUUUCUAUUUUCAGUCAUAUAUACUACAGUGUUUUUCCUUUACUUCUGUAAUCUAAAAUAAAAAUAAAUAAAGUCAACUGGCAAAAGCAAACACCCAAGCAAACAACUACAUAAUAAACAGAAAGCCCUUUAAUUUCUAAGAAUCAGGAGGCUUCAGAACAUGAAAGAACUUCCUGGUUCGAGGCAUUCCUCGUGAAAUCAUGUUUGGAAGCCAAUCUGGAAUUCUACCCCGCCCGGAACGAGGUAGACUCCAUAAAGCAGUAUUGAAAUUUCCCUGUUGAACAAAAAAUAAAUGUUUGAUGCUUUCUCUCGACCUCUGUUUAAAGUUAUUAACUCUUCUUUUAUUUAACUUUUAUUAAAGUUAUUAACUCUUCUUUCAGCUUACUGCUGUGGUGGUGUGUGUGUGUGUGUGUGUGUGUAUGUGUGUAUGUGUAUUUAAAGCAUAGGAAACAUCCAAAUGACUAAUGUUGUUUACAUUCUAUUCUUUAAAAUACACAUCAUACUAGAUGAAAGCAUAAAACAAUAUCUUUAAAUAUUAAAGAAAAACAAUCCUGUUUAAAAACCAGCCUCUUCCAGAGCCUAAGAGAGAUACACUAGGCCCUUGAGGAUGCUUGAGACUGUGCGCAAAAAAAUUGGGGUCUUUGGUUACUCUAUUGUAAAACAAUCAGGUUGCAUUCUGGCUUUUAGAUUGUUUUAAGUGAAGUUUCACUACUUGCUUGUUACUUUUGUUUAACUUAUUCCUUAUAAAUUGGGUUAAGUAGAAAAUAGGAAGAGAAAGAGGAGCCCAAGGAAGGUGGUGAUGGUAGGUAAAGCUGGGAACAGGCACCCCCCUUCUGCCUCAUCUCCACUUGCAGGGACACCAGUAAUUCAACAAAUGGUGGCUGCCGGCAACACCUCCGGUUGAGAAGCUUUCCUGGUUAUGAACCUGAAACAGGCUUUUCUUAGGAGAAGAGCAUACUUAAUUACUGGAAUCUCAAUCACAUGCGCUGAAAGAAUAAAUGACCAGCAUGGGCAGAUUUUGAUUAAGACUUGUCAAGGGGGAAAUGAUUUUCUUAAGUUUGGGAUUUUUAACUUUAUAAGAUAGUCUUCUUGUUGGCAAAAUUCGUCAGUGUCUCUGGGGCUUUCAGGCUACAGGAUUGUGUUAGAAACAGUCUGUGUGCCAUCACCUUUUAGAAUAUGUCCAUAUUAAAUGAGGCUCAAACAAAAAACAUUUUGUUUCUAUAUAUCAAAUAAAAUAAAGAAAAGGUCCUUUGAAAGCUUGAUCGAAACGUUAGGUUUUGUUACUGUCCUUUUCAAAGCACUAUUAUCAUAUUAUUUCUUAUUCGAUUCUCUUAGCAACCCGGGAGGUUGUCAGAGUAAACAAUCUUCGUGUUAUAGAUGCGGGAGAAAAUGCAUAAAAGGCUAACUCAUGCAUGUAAACAAUUGGUCAGAGAGUUUAGGAUUCCUAGUCUGUUUUACUCAACCUUUCAGUGAGGGCGAGUAUAGUUCCUAGCAGGUUGUAUUCAAGCAUCUCCUCCAGGAUUCAUCUUGUACUAAAAGUUAUGGAAAAAAUCUCGAUAA